UCAACAAAAAAAAAAAAAAUGUAAUCACAAGCAAAUUCUGCGAGUGGUCCCCCUUAACCCCUUUUCUUUCCGCAAUUGUAAUUGCAUAAUAUUCUUAAAUCACGACAGUUAGAAUAAUUAACAAGCUAUUGACUCGCUAAUUAGAACAAUUCUAACACAUUUUAGCUAAUACACAUAUAGGUACACAACCACACCUUGACAGCCACGUGUACGUUCCUCUCUUGCUUGGGUCACAAUACACGCUUGCCCAGCUUUUCCAGCCAAAGAAAAAGGCCAAAAAGCAGAACAAAUUCAGGUAAAUGAUUUAAUCAAAGCCUCCUCAGCUCUCAAAUCUAUUACCUACAAAUCCUGGCAUCCUAAGGAACCGGGUUCCACCCCUAUAUUAAUCUUAUUUUUAAAGGAAAAAAGAAAGCUACUAAUGCUAUUUACCAUUACCCUGGAACCUUGUGCUGUAAUUGCAUCUGAUUGAAGCUUUCAAUGGAAUAAAACUAAUUAAAGAAAAUAAGAAACAAGACCUGAGUAAGAAAAGGGAAGUAGGUGAGGGCUUAC
This 549-nucleotide unclassified non-coding RNA is filed under the name Hevea brasiliensis (rubber tree). The record is from RNAcentral. Lineage: Eukaryota; Viridiplantae; Streptophyta; Magnoliopsida; Malpighiales; Euphorbiaceae.